UACGGAGGAUGCGAGCGUUAUCCGGAUUUAUUGGGUUUAAAGGGUGCGCAGGCGGCACGGCAAGCCGGCGGUCAAAUCGCGGGGCUCAACCCCGCCCAGCCGUCGGAACUGCCGGGCUAGAGUGGGCGAGAAGUGCGCGGAAUGCGUGGUGUAGCGGUGAAAUGCAUAGAUAUCACGCAGAACUCCGAUUGCGAAGGCAGCGUACCGGCGCCCUACUGACGCUGAAGCACGAAGGCGUGGGUAUCGAACAGG
This 252-nucleotide ribosomal RNA is filed under the name uncultured bacterium. Its description in RNAcentral is "partial 16S ribosomal RNA". It matches the Rfam family "Bacterial small subunit ribosomal RNA", at positions 524 to 776 of the family's 1533-position model. The record is from RNAcentral.